Molecule: transfer RNA, 73 nt
Filed under: Eucalyptus grandis
Lineage: Eukaryota; Viridiplantae; Streptophyta; Magnoliopsida; Myrtales; Myrtaceae
Rfam family: tRNA
About the family: Transfer RNA (tRNA) molecules are approximately 80 nucleotides in length.
Source: Rfam by way of RNAcentral
UCCUACUUAACUCAGUGGUUAAAAAAUUGCUUUUAUAUGGCAAGAGUCAUUGGUUCAAAUCCAAUAGUAGAUA